CGUGCGGUCGUCCAGGUGAGGGAGCUGGAAGAGAGUCCGAAUUCUAAGGCUUUCAGCAGAGAUUUGAGAAAUGGCAACAAAUGAAAGUAUCGGCAUCUUUAGUUCAGCAUCCUUGGCUGUGGAGUAUGUAGACUCACUUUUACCUGAAAACCCUCUACAAGAAACAUUUAAAAAUGCUUGGAACUAUAUGUUGAAUAAUUAUACAAAGUUCCAGAUUGCAACAUGGGGAUCCUUGAUAGUUCAUGAGGUCCUUUAUUUCUUGUUCUGUUUACCUGGAUUUUUGUUUCAAUUUAUACCUUACAUGAAAAAGUACAAAAUUCAAAAGGAUAAACCAGAAACAUGGGAAAACCAAUGGAAAUGUUUUAAAGUACUUCUCUUUAAUCACUUUUGUAUCCAGCUUCCUUUGAUCUGUGGAACUUAUUAUUUUACAGAGUAUUUUAAUAUACCUUAUGAUUGGGAAAGAAUGCCAAGAUGGUAUCUGCUUUUGGCAAGAUGCUUCAGCUGUGCAGUGAUUGAGGAUACCUGGCACUAUUUCCUGCAUAGGCUCUUACAUCACAAAAGAAUAUAUAAAUAUAUUCAUAAAGUUCAUCAUGAGUUUCAGGCUCCAUUUGGAAUGGAAGCUGAAUAUGCACAUCCCUUGGAAACUCUGAUUCUUGGAACUGGAUUUUUCAUUGGAAUCAUGCUUUUAUGUGAUCAUGUCAUUCUCCUUUGGGCAUGGGUGACUAUUCGUUUGAUAGAAACUACUGAUGUCCAUAGUGGUUAUGACAUUCCUCUCAAUUCUUUAAAUCUGAUCCCUUUCUAUGCUGGUUCUCGGCAUCAUGACUUCCACCACAUGAACUUCAUCGGAAACUAUGCUUCAACAUUUACAUGGUGGGAUAGAAUUUUUGGAACAGACUCUCAAUUUAUUGCCUACAAUGAAAAGAUGAAGAAGAUUGAGAAAAAGACUGAAUAAAUAUCUAAACCUUCCUGAACAUACACACUUUCCUGAAUUGAAGCAAGUAGCUAACAUUGCUUCUGAGGAGCAGAAAUAAACGUGUCUUGGCUGCUAAGUGAUACAAAGAACAUUAACAAUCUUUAAUUAUCUUCCUAGUGGGAACUUUUUCUACUUUACAUAAAAGUUCUGUAUGUGUAGAAAUAAGUAUAUAUUUAAGUACGAUUUUCAUGAGGAAGUUGUAAAGGCCAUGUUGCUAACCUUACAGAAAGGUUUUAAGUAAUGGAAAAAGUAUUAAUUUGUC
This is a non-coding RNA of Callorhinus ursinus (northern fur seal), 1235 nucleotides long. Lineage: Eukaryota; Metazoa; Chordata; Mammalia; Carnivora; Otariidae. The record is from RefSeq and is a predicted model, not a curated record.